This 228-nucleotide ribosomal RNA is filed under the name uncultured bacterium. RNAcentral describes it as "partial 16S ribosomal RNA". It matches the Rfam family "Bacterial small subunit ribosomal RNA", at positions 524 to 751 of the family's 1533-position model. The record is from RNAcentral.
UACGUAGGGUGCAAGCGUUGUCCGGAAUUAUUGGGCGUAAAGAGCUCGUAGGCGGUCUGUCGCGUCGGCUGUGAAAACCCGGAGCUCAACUCCGGGCCUGCAGUCGAUACGGGCAGACUGGAGUUCGGCGGGGGAGACUGGAAUUCCUGGUGUAGCGGUGAAAUGCGCAGAUAUCAGGAGGAACACCGGUGGCGAAGGCGGGUCUCUGGGCCGAUACUGACGCUGAGG